GCAUCUGCUGUGAAGGCAAAGGGGUGACCCAUGCUGGAGCGUUGCGAAGUAAGAAUGUUGGCACAAGUAACCACAAUGCGCAUGAAAACUGCGCACGCCGAAAGACUAAGGUUUCCUUCUCGAUGUCAAUCAGGGAAGGGUUAGUCGGACCUAAGGGAAUGGCGAAAGCCGCACCCGAUGGAUAGCAGGUUAAUAUUCCUGCACUUUUGUAUGUUGCGAUGGAUGGACGGAGUGUAGUAUGCAUUGCUCAUUAUUGGAUUUGAAGUCAGUACUGUAAGGAUGUCUUCCAGGUAAAUCCGGAAGACCACUUUAAUGUGUAAUUCAAGCAGUACCGAAACCCGGAGAUUCGUCAAAGGGGAUAAUGCAAAGCACGCUUCCAAGAAAAACUUCUAAGCAUAAACAUAUAAAAACCGUACCGUAAACCGACACAGGUAGUCAGGUCGAGAAGACCAAGGCGAACGAGUGAGAGGUCCCCAAGGAACUCGGCAAAAAAGCGGCCGUACCUUCGGUAUAAGGCCUGCCCCUAGCAAUAGGGGCCGCAGCUAAAGUAUCCCUGGCGACUGUUUAUCAAAAACACAGCUCCCUGCGAACUCGUAAGAGGAUGUAUAGGGGGUGACGCCUGACCAAUGCCAGAAGGUCAAACAACGACGUUGUGUGCAUCACACUUUGUGUGAUCACACCAAUAAAAAGUGGUCGCAUCGCGCGAAGCGUGAUGUACAUGGUGAUUGUUGUAAGCCCUGGUGAAUGUCGGCAAUAACUAUAAUUGUCCUAAGGUUUUGGAACUUUUUUAAAAAGGUUUCAAAAGGACUGGGACAGUUAUAGAGAUAAGCAGUUUAAUAAAAAAGAAAAAUAAACGAGACAAAAUAAAGUUAGUUACGCAAAAAAGAAGCUACCUACACUGCAGUAAUGUAGUGUUAGUCCAAAUAUGGUUAAUAAGUGCACCAACACCAUACGCCCGACUAAAAAUUUUAAGGGUGAAGAUAGAGUCCAACUUGAAAGGAAUAGUUGAGCGAAAUUCCUUGUCUGGUAAGUUCAGACGCGCACGAAUGGCGUAACGACUGGGGAACUGUCUCGGGGACUCGCUCGGUGAAAAUACAGUACCGGUGAAGAUGCCGGUUACCUGCAGUUAGACGAAAAGACCCCGGAAGCUUUACUGCAACUUGGCAUUGAGGAUAUGUUUUUACUGCGUAGCAUAGAUGGGAGGAUUUGAGAUAUCUCUUUCGGGAGAUGUUGAUCCGUCAGUGAAAUACCAUUCUGUGAUGACAUAUUUUCUAACCUCUCGCGUCAAACGCGAAAGAGACAGUGCCUGGCGGGCAGUUUUAGUGGGGCGCUAUCCUCCUAAAGAGUAACGGAGGAGCCUAUUAAGGUCAGCUAGCCGUGAAUGGAAACCAUGGCGAUAGUGUAUAGGCACAAGCUGGCUUAACUGCAAGACGUACAUGUCGAGCAGAUGCGAAAGCAGAGCUAAGUGAACCGAUCGUACGCGUUAGACGCGGCGAAAGAUUAUCGGACAAAAGCUACUCCGGGGAUAACAGGCUGGUUCCGCCUAAGCGUCCAGAGCGACGGCGGAGUUCGGCACCUCGAUGUCGGCUCAACUUAUCCCGGGGGUGGAGAAGCUCCCAAGGGUAUGGCUGUUCGCCAUUUAAAAAGUUACGCGAGCUGGGUUCAGACCGUUCAGAAUAAAAUGAAAAGAUUCAAAGAAGCAAAGAAGGAAAAAUUAAUCUUUCCAUCUUUAAAUCUUUCCUUCUUUCAAUUGUAUUUUGAAUAAUCUGAAUCCUCAGAGGAAAUUGAAAUUAAAAUCAUAAUGUUAUAAGUUUUUUUGUUAAGUAAAAAAGAUAAGAACAAUCAAAUCACGGCGGUCUUUGAUAUUUAAAAUAUUGAAGAUUAAAGUUGACUAUAUCGGUGAAGUCCUGAGAGAAGUCGAAGGAUAAUACCGAGGGAAGAGGUCGCGAGUACACGACAUAAGUGUCGCUU
Molecule: ribosomal RNA, 1971 nt
Filed under: Candidatus Zambryskibacteria bacterium RIFCSPLOWO2_02_FULL_38_13
Lineage: Bacteria; Candidatus Zambryskiibacteriota
Description: bacterial LSU rRNA
Rfam family: Bacterial large subunit ribosomal RNA
Source: RNAcentral